CAGUAGCCGCGGUAAUACGUAGGUGGCAAGCGUUGUCCGGAAUUAUUGGGCGUAAAGGGCUCGCAGGCGGUUUCUUAAGUCUGAUGUGAAAGCCCCCGGCUCAACCGGGGAGGGUCAUUGGAAACUGGGAAACUUGAGUGCAGAAGAGGAGAGUGGAAUUCCACGUGUAGCGGUGAAAUGCGUAGAGAUGUGGAGGAACACCAGUGGCGAAGGCGACUCCCUGGUCUGUAACUGACGCUGAGGAGCGAAAGCGUGGGGAGCGAACAGGAUUAGAUACCCCAGUAGUCCCUGUCUCUUAUAC
RNAcentral lists this ribosomal RNA (301 nucleotides) under uncultured bacterium. RNAcentral's name for it is "partial 16S ribosomal RNA". It matches the Rfam family "Bacterial small subunit ribosomal RNA", at positions 509 to 807 of the family's 1533-position model. The record is from RNAcentral.